GCCCAGUGAAUCCAGGAUGCGAUCUUCUAAAUGUCCUUCACUCCGGCACCUGGACAACACAGACCCUGGGUGCACCAGCAGCAGAAGAUGCGAGCCAGGCCUCGGGAGACGACCUCUCCUCCUCCACCGCCUCUGGUCUUCGAGAUCUCCACCCGGAACCGCCUCGCUUCCCUCCGUGAGAUGGAACGCGAUGUUGUGAUUGUCGGAGACUCCAUCAUUCGGAACGUCCGUGCUACAUUAGCCGAAGAUGAUGAUGAAACCCGGGAUCCCUGGCAGUGAGUUCCUGAAAUUUACUUUGAUCGGUCAUCAGAAUGAGGACUUUUCACAGUUGAUCUUGUGAAUGGAUUAAAGCUGGCCUUCUGACCAUGGAGUGGGUAAGUAUGUUUUCAUUCUCCAUUUUGUAUGAUAUGGAAACUAGAAGGUUGUGAGUAGCUUCAAUUGUCCCAUUACUGUACAAUCCGACAACAUUCAGAUUAUCUCAUCAGGGAUGGAAAGGAAAAUUUCUGACAGUG
This is a long non-coding RNA of Cyprinus carpio carpio, 512 nucleotides long. The record is from Ensembl. NCBI's taxonomy places the organism in Eukaryota, Metazoa, Chordata, Actinopteri, Cypriniformes, Cyprinidae.